AUGUUUUUUAUCUACACUCCCAGUAAAGGCACAAGUUAUGUUGGGACAAUAAGCACGUACUUUUACAGAAAGAACACAGUUUACCAUAACCAUCCAUUAAAUCUACACUCCCAGUAUGAUGAAUGGGUGCAAAAAAGUGUGGAUUUUUUCUUGCAGUUCCUAAUUAUGUUUUAUUUUUCUCGCAGUUCCUCUAUCUACCCAAUGGCAUACCUUAGUGCCAAAUGGGCAAAAUUAAUAAUCAUAAUCAAGCAUGAAAGGAGCUACUCAAGGGCACACUUUACUGCCUAUUGGGGAAUACUAAUACUCCCUCUAUUCCUAAAUGGAGUAAUCAUCAGCAAGUAUGGAGCUAUUUUUUGGUAA
Molecule: ribosomal RNA, 360 nt
Filed under: Triticum aestivum (bread wheat)
Lineage: Eukaryota; Viridiplantae; Streptophyta; Magnoliopsida; Poales; Poaceae
Description: partial small subunit ribosomal RNA
Source: RNAcentral